This 253-nucleotide ribosomal RNA is filed under the name uncultured bacterium. Its description in RNAcentral is "partial 16S ribosomal RNA". It matches the Rfam family "Bacterial small subunit ribosomal RNA", at positions 524 to 776 of the family's 1533-position model. The record is from RNAcentral.
GACGUAGGGCGCGAGCGUUGUCCGGAUUUAUUGGGCGUAAAGAGCUCGUAGGCGGCUUGUUGCGUCGGCUGUGAAAUCCCGUGGCUUAACUGCGGGCUUGCAGCUGAUACGGGCGGGCUAGAGUUCGGUAGGGGAGACUGGAAUUCCUGGUGUAGCGGUGAAAUGCGCAGAUAUCAGGAGGAACACCGGUGGCGAAGGCAGGUCUCUGGGCCGAUACUGACGCUGAGGAGCGAAAGCGUGGGGAGCGAACAGG